Molecule: ribosomal RNA, 418 nt
Filed under: Proteus mirabilis
Lineage: Bacteria; Pseudomonadati; Pseudomonadota; Gammaproteobacteria; Enterobacterales; Morganellaceae
Description: bacterial SSU rRNA
Rfam family: Bacterial small subunit ribosomal RNA
Source: RNAcentral
GCGCAGCCUGAUGCAGCCAUGCCGCGUGUAUGAAGAAGGCCUUAGGGUUGUAAAGUACUUUCAGCGGGGAGGAAGGUGAUAAGGUUAAUACCCUUAUCAAUUGACGUUACCCGCAGAAGAAGCACCGGCUAACUCCGUGCCAGCAGCCGCGGUAAUACGGAGGGUGCAAGCGUUAAUCGGAAUUACUGGGCGUAAAGCGCACGCAGGCGGUCAAUUAAGUCAGAUGUGAAAGCCCCGAGCUUAACUUGGGAAUUGCAUCUGAAACUGGUUGGCUAGAGUCUUGUAGAGGGGGGUAGAAUUCCAUGUGUAGCGGUGAAAUGCGUAGAGAUGUGGAGGAAUACCGGUGGCGAAGGCGGCCCCCUGGACAAAGACUGACGCUCAGGUGCGAAAGCGUGGGGAGCAAACAGGAUUAGAUACC